Molecule: non-coding RNA, 1183 nt
Organism: Callithrix jacchus (white-tufted-ear marmoset)
Lineage: Eukaryota; Metazoa; Chordata; Mammalia; Primates; Cebidae
Source: RefSeq, a predicted model, not a curated record
AAAGACAUGGGUGAAAGAUUAUGACUUUUUGAACAGAAAACACAAGAAAGUCAUGGAAAGAAGCAACAAGAUGAUUCCGAUGAAUAUGAUGAUGACAAUUCUGCAGCCUCAACUUUAUUUCAACCACAACCUGUUCAACAUCAACAAGAUUAUAUUCCCCCAGUGGUGCAGCCAGGACUGUCACCAGUACCAGGAGCACCAGGAAUGCCUCCAGGCAUACCUCCACUAAUGCCAGGUAAUCCUCCUCUGAUGCCAGGAAUGCCACUAGUUAUGCCAGGCAUGCCACCUGGAUUGCAUCAUCAGAGAAAAUGCACCCAGUCACUUUGCAGUGAAAACAUAAUGAUGGGUGGAAUAUGCCACCUGGGCGAGGAAUACCAUCUCUGAUGCCUAGAAUGCCACCAGGUAUUCCCCCCACCCCCAUUCCACAUUCUGGAAUUCCUCCAGUCACCCAAGCACAGACUGUUUCCGUGCCAGGUAUUAAUAGACCACCUGCACCAACAGCAACUGUACCUGCUCCACAGCCUCCAGUUACUAAGCCUCUUUCUCCCAGUGCUGGACAGGCUCAGGCAGCUGUCCAAGGACCUGUUGGGACAGAUUUCAAACCCUUAAAUAGUACCACUGCAACAACUACAGAACCCCUACAUUCCCUACGUAUACAUAGUCUACAGAUUCAACCACUAGUACAACAAAUAGUACUGCAGCUAAACCAGCAGCUUCAAUAACAAGUAAGCCUGCUACACUUAGAAUAACCAAUGCACACAGUAAGUUGAUCAAUCCAGAUGAAGCUAUAUACCUGGAAGAGAGAAGGGCACAGUUACCGCGAUAUCAGUGUAAUCUUCCUCAGCAAGGACAGGUCCCCAUAGGUAAUCUACCAGUUGGACCAAUUGGAGGUAUGAUGCCACCAUAGCCAGGCAUCCCACAGCAACAAGGAAUGAGACCCUCCGUGCCACCUCGUGGUCAGUAUAGUGGUCAUCAUCAAGGCAUGCCAGGAUACCUUCCUGGUGCUAUGCCCCUGUAUGAACAGGGACCGCCAAUGAUGCCCCCUUUCCAGGGUGGACCUUCUAGAUCUCUGAUAGGAAUGAGACCUCCUGUAACAUUGCAAGGUGGCCGUUACCGAUCUUACCUCACCCAGUCUAAUAGGUUUGGAGAUAAAACCUUUUCUCAAGUUGUGCUAUUUAUAUAG